Molecule: long non-coding RNA, 1642 nt
Organism: Carcharodon carcharias (great white shark)
Lineage: Eukaryota; Metazoa; Chordata; Chondrichthyes; Lamniformes; Lamnidae
Exons: 2
Source: RefSeq, a predicted model, not a curated record
GUCUCCCUCUCCGCAGAUGCUGUCAGACCUGCUGAGUUUGUGUCCCCCCCCCCCCACCCCACCCCCGGGAAAAACUCCAGUCCAACUGUGCAAAUUCCCAGCUCCUGAGGAGAAAGUUGAACGUUAACCGCAGCGUUUAAAAUGGAAAUAAGGAGGUCCAAUAUUUCAUCUGUCGUCAAUUAUUGUUUGACCUCAUGGCCUUUGUGAUCCCAAUGAAAGAUGGGAAAUGUGGAUCGAUUGGUGUACAGCGAAUGAUCAGGUUAUUCUAAAUGCCUGGUUCAAGGAGCAUCCAAAAAGGGAGUACAACAGGAAAAGUCCUGGCAACAUGACCAGAAAUCAAAUUAACUAUGUGACAAUAAACAGCAAAUUCCAAAAUGCAGUUUGACAAGUAAAGACCUACCUUGGUGCUGACUGCAGGAGUGAACAUACACCUUUAGUUUGUGCCAUCAAAAUAAAACUGAGGAAGUUCAAAAACACAGGGACAUUAAAGAGACUAGAUUAUGAGCUACUCAAUACAUAGAGUUCAAUUAAAGAAAAAUUUAAAGUGGAAGUUCAAAGCUGUUUUGAAUAGCUUGAAAACCGAGGAAACCAUUCAACAUGGGACAUGUUCAAAGCAUCAGUGUUAGAAUCAUCAAAAGGCACCAAACAACAUGACUAAAAUAAAAGAUCUGGUCAUUUAUUUAUUUCAUUGCUGUUUGUGAAAGCUUGUGCCAUACAAAUUGGCAGCCACUUUUCCUACAUUAUAACUGUGGCUACCCUUCAAAACUACUUCAUUGGUUGUAAAGCACUUUGGGGUGCCUUGCAGUCAUGAAAGGUGCUAUAUAAAUGCAAACUCUUUUUUCUUUCUAUUCCACCCUGAUAUGUUGCCCUUCACAAGUGACCUCUGUUAAAGAGAAUGUGUUUCCCUGAUUAAACCUCCACUUAUCAAUGCUCCUUCAAUCUGACUAGAAACUAGUGAAAAUAUUGUGGCCCUGCAAACACAGAAAUAAUGACAUUAGAAAAAGAUCAUCCGGUCCAUCCAGCCUGCCCCUUACAACAGUGAUUCCAUAUAUUUUCACACAAUAUAUAUACUCUUCAUCCCAACCAGAACCAUGCAAUCUUAGGUGAUGGAACACACUUCUAUUUUUGUUAACUAUGUAAUGAAUCAGAUGUGAAAUAGAGCAUUCUCUACUUUUCCCCAUCAGUGUGCAGAACCUUACAAAUGCUUCCCAAUCUUCAACCUUACAACUGGCACAAGGAGACUUGCAGUCUGUAGGUCAGGUUGGACUUGAAUUUGAAGUCCCAGCAAGAGGGACAGUAUGCUAACCCCAUAUGGCAUUGCCCCCUUUUAAAUUAAAAGAAUGUUUUUCUAUUAUAACUCUGAAAAUUACAUGAAGCUAAACUAAACAUUACAUACUGCCGAGUCUAUUCAAUUUAAAGAUUCAAUCCCAAUGAAGAAAUGGGCAGAAGUGACUCCCACAUUCUACGGUUUACGAGACAGAAGCCUUACUGCUUGACCACCACACCAGAUGCUCAUUGCUCUGAUUCUGAACUGGCCAGGGCUGUUAUAAUUGGAUAAUUCUAUAACAUAUGCCACUUUCUAACAGCUUGUGUAAAGGCAUUGAGUAAUAUUGUAUUAAAACAUAGGUUUGGAGGUAAAAAA